GCUGGAGAUAUCGGAAGUGAGAAUGCUGACAUGAGUAACGAGAUGAGUGUGAGAAACACUCACGCCGAAAGUCCAAGGGUUCCUGCUUAAAGCUAAUCUGAGCAGGGUGAGCCGGCCCCUAAGCCGAGGCAGAGAUGCGUAGGUGAUGGGAACGAGGUUAAUAUUCCUCGGCCUGGAGAUGAGUGACGGAUUGUGAACUGUGUUCCUCCUUAAUGGAUUGGAGGGGCGCUGCAGCAGUCCCAGGAAAUAGCCUCUCCAUAUAGACCGUACCCCAAACCGACACAGGUGGUCAGGUAGAGAAUACCAAGGCGCUUGAGAGAACUCGGGUGAAGGAACUAGGCAAAAUGGCACCGUAACUUCGGGAGAAGGUGCGCCGCUGACGGUGAUGGGACUUGCUCCCUAAGCUAUUGGCGGUCGAAGAUACCAGGUGGCUGCGACUGUUUACUAAAAACACAGCACUCUGCAAACACGAAAGUGGACGUAUAGGGUGUGACGCCUGCCCGGUGCCGGAAGGUUAAUUGAUGGGGUUAGCGUAUGCGAAGCUCUUGAUCGAAGCCCCGGUAAACGGCGGCCGUAAC
RNAcentral lists this ribosomal RNA (578 nucleotides) under Isochrysis galbana. RNAcentral's name for it is "partial Bacterial large subunit ribosomal RNA". It matches the Rfam family "Bacterial large subunit ribosomal RNA", at positions 1272 to 1940 of the family's 2925-position model. The record is from RNAcentral. Lineage: Eukaryota; Haptophyta; Isochrysidales; Isochrysidaceae.